Molecule: ribosomal RNA, 494 nt
Filed under: uncultured bacterium
Lineage: Bacteria
Description: partial 16S ribosomal RNA
Rfam family: Bacterial small subunit ribosomal RNA
Source: RNAcentral
ACGAACGCUGGCGGCGUGCCUAAUACAUGCAAGUAGAACGCUGAAGGAGGAGCUUGCUUCUCUGGAUGAGUUGCGAACGGGUGAGUAACGCGUAGGUAACCUGCCUGGUAGCGGGGGAUAACUAUUGGAAACGAUAGCUAAUACCGCAUAAGAGUAGAUGUUGCAUGACAUUUGCUUAAAAGGUGCAAUUGCAUCACUACCAGAUGGACCUGCGUUGUAUUAGCUAGUUGGUGGGGUAACGGCUCACCAAGGCGACGAUACAUAGCCGACCUGAGAGGGUGAUCGGCCACACUGGGACUGAGACACGGCCCAGACUCCUACGGGAGGCAGCAGUAGGGAAUCUUCGGCAAUGGACGGAAGUCUGAACGAGCAACGCCGCGUGAGUGAAGAAGGUUUUCGGAUCGUAAAGCUCUGUUGUAAGAGAAGAACGAGUGUGAGAGUGGAAAGUUCACACUGUGACGGUAUCUUACCAGAAAGGGACGGCUAACUACGUG